GACAGAGGGGGCAAGCGUUGCUCGGAAUUACUGGGCGUAAAGGGCGCGUAGGCGGCCUGCUAAGUCGGACGUGAAAUCCCUCGGCUCAACCGGGGAACUGCGUCCGAUACUGGUGGGCUCGAAUCCGGGAGAGGGAUGUGGAAUUCCAGGUGUAGCGGUGAAAUGCGUAGAUAUCUGGAGGAACACCGGUGGCGAAGGCGGCAUCCUGGACCGGUAUUGACGCUGAUGCGCGAAAGCCAGGGGAGCAAACGGG
RNAcentral lists this ribosomal RNA (253 nucleotides) under uncultured bacterium. RNAcentral's name for it is "partial 16S ribosomal RNA". It matches the Rfam family "Bacterial small subunit ribosomal RNA", at positions 524 to 776 of the family's 1533-position model. The record is from RNAcentral.